GAGGGUAUAGCUCAGUGGUAGACUGUAUGCUUAGCAUUCAUGAGGUCCUAGGUUCAAUCCCCAGUACCUCCA
This 72-nucleotide transfer RNA is filed under the name Camelus bactrianus (Bactrian camel). It matches the Rfam family "tRNA". Rfam says of the family: Transfer RNA (tRNA) molecules are approximately 80 nucleotides in length. Their secondary structure includes four short double-helical elements and three loops (D, anti-codon, and T loops). RNAcentral also lists the same sequence under 1 other name. The record is from Rfam by way of RNAcentral. Lineage: Eukaryota; Metazoa; Chordata; Mammalia; Artiodactyla; Camelidae.